UGUUACAAAAUGAAGCACUCCACCCAUCCUCCUAGUCAGCUGACAAGCCACCAGACCAGGAGCUGCUCCUACCACACGGACCCAGGAGCUCCAGCCGUUCCACUGAGGUCAACUAGGCCAACAGCUCUUCGACACUGGCCACAGAUGUUAAACAAAGGUAUGGGUGAAGGCCAAGUAACCAUCAGAAGCUGUGCUGUGUUGUGCCCAAAUGUCAUGGACAAAUACCAAGGUAUCAGUCUAUUUUCAUGGGGCUGAAGAUGGCACCCAGGUCUUCACAUUUAUCAGGGGACCAGGACUGGCUUGCUGACCACUGAUGUUCCCUCACUGAGGGAAGUAGGAAAGGCCACUGGACUUCACCUGAGACUCUGGUUGCUCCCCCUGCAUAUCCUGGAGAUCUGUAUGUAACUUGACUCUAACUGACAUGGCCUCACAGUCUUGGUAGGUGCUAAGCCAAGCAAAAAGAGGAAGGUUAACUGAAGGGAGGACACUUUGUAUGCAGCCACGGGGAAGUUGUCCAUGCUGGAUAAGACUUUCUGAGUGUGUGGUCACUUUGGGGUCAUGCAUGUUUCUGUAAGUAAUCCCUCACCCAUGCUCUGUAAGUAUGCCUGACAAACUCACAGGUUCUCUAGGUUGGAUGUUGGUGGAUUUGUGUUUUGGGUUAUCACCUGUACUAAGGAGGGGGCAGACCUCUGCUUAAGUCACUCCAGGGAAAAGGCUCCAUAGCAAGGUGUUUAAGACAUACCUGCUGAGUAAGUGAACUGAAAAAUGACCUGGUAGGGCUAGGGAGAUGGCUCAGUCGAGAAAGUGCUCACCACUCAAGGAUGAGGACCUGAGUGAGUAUCCAUGGCAGCCAGCACAGCAGCAUGAGGCUGUGGAUCUCAGCACUGGAGAGGUGGAGACAGAUUCUCGGAGUUCAUUGUUUAGGUUAGACUGGCUGGCCAAUGAGCUCCAAGUUCAGUGAGAAAUCCUGUCCCAAAAUAUGAGGUGAAGCUGAGCGUGAUGGCACAUGCCUUUAACUUCAGCAUUUGGAAGCCAGAGGCAGGUGGAGCUCUUCUGAUGCCAACCUGACUUAAUAUAACAAGUUCCAAGGCUAGCCAAGGCCACACAGGGAGACCCUGUGUGAAAACACAACAGCAAACGAGGCAGAGAAAACAGGGAAGGACAUCCAACACCACUUCUGGCCUUCACACUCAUGCCCCACGGACACAUCAGACCCACAAC
Myodes glareolus (Bank vole) is the source of this 1221-nucleotide non-coding RNA. NCBI's taxonomy places the organism in Eukaryota, Metazoa, Chordata, Mammalia, Rodentia, Cricetidae. The record is from RefSeq and is a predicted model, not a curated record.